CUUCACGUGAUGAUACUGACCAGUUCUGCUACUGAAGGGACGGCGAUGACACCCUUAGAAUCUGAAGAAG
This 70-nucleotide small nucleolar RNA is filed under the name Ornithorhynchus anatinus (platypus). The record is from RNAcentral. Lineage: Eukaryota; Metazoa; Chordata; Mammalia; Monotremata; Ornithorhynchidae.